AAGAACAAAAAAUAAAGCAUCAG
This 23-nucleotide non-coding RNA is filed under the name Cricetulus griseus (Chinese hamster). The record is from RNAcentral. Lineage: Eukaryota; Metazoa; Chordata; Mammalia; Rodentia; Cricetidae.